AGCAGCCGCGGUAAUUCCAGCUCCAAUAGCGUAUAUUAAAGUUGUUGCAGUUAAAAAGCUCGUAGUUGAAUUUCGGGAUCAAUUAAUUGGUCGUGCCUCUGGUACGUACUGAUUUUAUUGGUUUCUCCCUUCUGACGAACCAUGAUGUCAUUAAUUUGGUGUCGUGGAGAAUCAGGACUGUUACUUUGAAAAAAUUAGAGUGUUUAAAGCAAGCUAACGCUUGAAUACAUUAGCAUGGAAUAAUGAAAUAGGACGUUUGAUCCUAUUUUGUUGGUUUCUAGGAUCGACGUAAUGAUUAAUAGGGAUAGUUGGGGGCAUUAGUAUUCAAUUGUCAGAGGUGAAAUUCUUGGAUUUAUUGAAGACUAACUACUGCGAAAGCAUUUGCCAAGGAUGUUUUCAUUAAUCAAGAACGAAAGUUAGGGGAUCGAAGACGAUCAGAUACCGUCGUAGUCUUAACCAUAAACUAUGCCGACUAGGGAUCGGAUGAUGUUAAUUUUUUAAUGACUCAUUCGGCGCCG
RNAcentral lists this unclassified non-coding RNA (518 nucleotides) under uncultured Glomus. RNAcentral describes it as "SSU rRNA". It matches the Rfam family "Eukaryotic small subunit ribosomal RNA", at positions 569 to 1088 of the family's 1831-position model. The record is from RNAcentral. Lineage: Eukaryota; Fungi; Glomeromycota; Glomeromycetes; Glomerales; Glomeraceae.